UACGAAGGGGGCUAGCGUUGUUCGGAAUCACUGGGCGUAAAGCGCACGUAGGCGGAUCUUUAAGUCAGGGGUGAAAUCCCGAGGCUCAACCUCGGAACUGCCUUUGAUACUGGGGAUCUCGAGUCCGGGAGAGGUGAGUGGAACUGCGAGUGUAGAGGUGAAAUUCGUAGAUAUUCGCAAGAACACCAGUGGCGAAGGCGGCUCACUGGCCCGGAACUGACGCUGAGGUACGAAAGCGUGGGGAGCAAACAGG
Molecule: ribosomal RNA, 253 nt
Filed under: uncultured bacterium
Lineage: Bacteria
Description: partial 16S ribosomal RNA
Rfam family: Bacterial small subunit ribosomal RNA
Source: RNAcentral